Molecule: ribosomal RNA, 1008 nt
Filed under: Cenococcum geophilum
Lineage: Eukaryota; Fungi; Ascomycota; Dothideomycetes; Gloniales; Gloniaceae
Description: SSU rRNA
Rfam family: Eukaryotic small subunit ribosomal RNA
Source: RNAcentral
CGAAUGGCUCAUUAAAUCAGUUAUCGUUUAUUUGAUAGUACCUUACUACUUGGAUAACCGUGGUAAUUCUAGAGCUAAUACAUGCUAAAAACCCCGACUUCGGGAGGGGUGUAUUUAUUAGAUAAAAAACCAACGCCCUUCGGGGCUUCUUGGUGAUUCAUGAUAACUUAACGAAUCGCAUGGCCUUGCGCCGGCGAUGGUUCAUUCAAAUUUCUGCCCUAUCAACUUUCGAUGGUAGGAUAGUGGCCUACCAUGGUAUCAACGGGUAACGGGGAAUUAGGGUUCUAUUCCGGAGAGGGAGCCUGAGAAACGGCUACCACAUCCAAGGAAGGCAGCAGGCGCGCAAAUUACCCAAUCCCGACACGGGGAGGUAGUGACAAUAAAUACUGAUACAGGGCUCUUUUGGGUCUUGUAAUUGGAAUGAGWACAAUUUAAAUCCCUUAACGAGGAACAAUUGGAGGGCAAGUCUGGUGCCAGCAGCCGCGGUAAUUCCAGCUCCAAUAGCGUAUAUUAAAGUUGUUGCAGUUAAAAAGCUCGUAGUUGAACCUUGGGCCUGGCUGGCCGGUCCGCCUCACCGCGUGCACUGGUCCGGCCGGGCCUUUCCUUCUGGGGAGCCGCAUGCCCUUCACUGGGUGUGUCGGGGAACCAGGACUUUUACUUUGAAAAAAUUAGAGUGUUCAAAGCAGGCCUUUGCUCGGAUACAUUAGCAUGGAAUAAUAGAAUAGGACGUGCGGUCCUAUUUUGUUGGUUUCUAGGACCGCCGUAAUGAUUAAUAGGGAUAGUCGGGGGCAUCAGUAUUCAAUUGUCAGAGGUGAAAUUCUUGGAUUUAUUGAAGACUAACUACUGCGAAAGCAUUUGCCAAGGAUGUUUUCAUUAAUCAGUGAACGAAAGUUAGGGGAUCGAAGACGAUCAGAUACCGUCGUAGUCUUAACCGUAAACUAUGCCGACUAGGGAUCGGGCGAUGUUAUCAUUUUGACUCGCUCGGCACCUUACGAGAAAUCAAAGUCU